AGUUUGAUCCUGGCUCAGAUUGAACGCUGGCGGCAUGCCUUACACAUGCAAGUCGAACGGCAGCACGGGAGCAAUCCUGGUGGCGAGUGGCGAACGGGUGAGUAACAUAUCGGAACGUGCCCAAUAGUGGGGGAUAGCCCGGCGAAAGCCGGAUUAAUACCGCAUACGACCUGAGGGUGAAAGCGGGGGAUCGCAAGACCUCGCGCUAUUGGAGCGGCCGAUAUCAGAUUAGCUAGUUGGUGGGGUAAAGGCCUACCAAGGCGACGAUCUGUAGCUGGUCUGAGAGGACGACCAGCCACACUGGGACUGAGACACGGCCCAGACUCCUACGGGAGGCAGCAGUGGGGAAUUUUGGACAAUGGGCGCAAGCCUGAUCCAGCCAUGCCGCGUGCGGGAAGAAGGCCUUCGGGUUGUAAACCGCUUUUGUCAGGGAAGAAACGGUCUGGGCUAAUACCCUGGACUAAUGACGGUACCUGAAGAAUAAGCACCGGCUAACUAC
RNAcentral lists this ribosomal RNA (499 nucleotides) under uncultured bacterium. RNAcentral's name for it is "bacterial SSU rRNA". It matches the Rfam family "Bacterial small subunit ribosomal RNA", at positions 10 to 504 of the family's 1533-position model. The record is from RNAcentral.